This 506-nucleotide ribosomal RNA is filed under the name uncultured bacterium. RNAcentral's name for it is "partial 16S ribosomal RNA". It matches the Rfam family "Bacterial small subunit ribosomal RNA", at positions 28 to 523 of the family's 1533-position model. The record is from RNAcentral.
GAUGAACGCUAGCUACAGGCUUAACACAUGCAAGUCGAGGGGUAACGAGAGGAAAGCUUGCUUUCCUUGUCGACGACCGGCGCACGGGUGAGUAACGCGUAUCCAACCUGCCCCCAACUAGGGAAUAACCUUGCGAAAGUAAGACUAAUACCCUAUAAUUUCCUCAGAUGUCAUCUGACGAGGAAUAAAGAUUUAUCGGUUGUGGAUGGGGAUGCGUCUGAUUAGCUUGUUGGAGGGGUAACGGCCCACCAAGGCAACGAUCAGUAGGGGUUCUGAGAGGAAGGUCCCCCACAUUGGAGCUGAGACACGGUCCAAACUCCUACGGGAGGCAGCAGUGAGGAAUAUUGGUCAAUGGGCGGAAGCCUGAGCCAGCCAAGUAGCGUGCAGGAUGACGGCCCUAUGGGUUGUAAACUGCUUUUAUGCAGGAAUAAAGUUAGCCACGUGUGGUUAUUUGUAGGUACUGUAUGAAUAAGGACCGGCUAAUUCCGUGCCAGCAGCCGCCGUAA